GCGGGGGCGCCCUGAGAGAGGAGAGGACGUUGGCGGAGCCCGGGGGGGUGGAGGCGCAGGGGCGCAGGGGCCGGGCUGCGAGAGGCGCCGGCGUCGGAAACGCGGUCGGGCGGCCAGCUGGCCAGAGCUCCAGCCGGCACUCGGAGGCCGGAGCCGGCUGCGACCCCCGGGAAGGGCCGGGGGCGCGACGGGCUGGCCUAGGAGCCUGUUUGGCGGGAAGCCCAUGGGGAUGGGGGGGCAGAAGUAGAGGGCGGUGGGGAAGAGAAGUCCAACGUCGACCUCAUCCUAACUCUCCCGGCCUUCUGAGGCAUCGAGUGGGCACUGCUUCUGCCCGCGGCCCUCGCUCUUCGUUCGCAGGACUAGGACCUUCCCAAGUUUUAUUCAAGAACUCAUACAAAAUAUUCCAG
Tupaia belangeri chinensis (Chinese tree shrew) is the source of this 407-nucleotide long non-coding RNA. RefSeq lists it as uncharacterized. The transcript is spliced from 3 exons. The record is from RefSeq and is a predicted model, not a curated record. Lineage: Eukaryota; Metazoa; Chordata; Mammalia; Scandentia; Tupaiidae.